GCCUUGGGCUCGAAAAUGGGCGAUGGUCUUGUAAGCCAAGGGAGGAGUAGUGAUGCGCUCCAGGGCA
This 67-nucleotide transfer RNA is filed under the name Spondylus violaceus. RNAcentral's name for it is "tRNA-Thr". The record is from RNAcentral. Lineage: Eukaryota; Metazoa; Mollusca; Bivalvia; Pectinida; Spondylidae.